RNAcentral lists this ribosomal RNA (253 nucleotides) under uncultured bacterium. Its description in RNAcentral is "partial 16S ribosomal RNA". It matches the Rfam family "Bacterial small subunit ribosomal RNA", at positions 524 to 776 of the family's 1533-position model. The record is from RNAcentral.
UACGUAGGGGGCAAGCGUUGUCCGGAUUUAUUGGGCGUAAAGAGCGUGUAGGCGGCUUUGCAAGUCCGUUGUGAAAACUCGAGGCUCAACCUCGAGACGCCGGUGGAAACUGCAAAGCUAGAGUCCGGAAGAGGAGAGUGGAAUUCCUGGUGUAGCGGUGAAAUGCGCAGAUAUCAGGAGGAACACCCGUGGCGAAAGCGGCUCUCUGGGACGGUACUGACGCUCAUGCACGAAAGCGUGGGGAGCAAACAGG